This 481-nucleotide ribosomal RNA is filed under the name uncultured bacterium. Its description in RNAcentral is "partial 16S ribosomal RNA". The record is from RNAcentral.
CACGUAGUUAGCCGAGGCUGAUUCCCCCGGUACCGUCAUCUUCGCCCCGGGGAAAAGCGGUUUACACCCCGAGGGGCGUCAUCCCGCACGCGGCGUUGCUCGGUCAGGCUUGCGCCCAUUGCCGAAAAUCCCUCGCUGCUGCCACCCGUAGGUGUGGGGGCCGUGUCUCAGUCCCCCCUGUGGCUGGUCGUCCUCUCAGACCAGCGACCGAUCGUCGCCUCGGUGGCCGUCACCCCGCCGACUAGCUAAUCGGGCGCAAUCCCCUCCGCGAGCGCCCCGAAGGGCUUUCCCCGAACACCCCACCGGCAUCCGGACGUAUGCGGUAACAGCCCCGGUUUCCCGGGGUUGGCCCCCACUCGCGGCAGGUCGAUCACGUGCUCCUCACCCGUCCGCCGCUGACCACCCCCGAAAGGACUGACCCGCCCGACUUGCAUGCGUUAGGCACGCCGCCAGCGUUGUUCCUGAGCCAGGAUCAAACUCU